Molecule: ribosomal RNA, 234 nt
Filed under: uncultured bacterium
Lineage: Bacteria
Description: partial 16S ribosomal RNA
Rfam family: Bacterial small subunit ribosomal RNA
Source: RNAcentral
GAUCAUGGCUCAGGAUGAACGCUAGCUACAGGCUUAACACAUGCAAGUCGAGGGGAAACGACAUCGAAAGCUUGCUUUUGAUGGGCGUCGACCGGCGCACGGGUGAGUAACGCGUAUCCAACCUGCCCAUCACUUGGGAAUAACCUUGCGAAAGUAAGACUAAUGCCCAAUGACAUCCCACGAAGGCAUCCGAAUGGGAUUAAAGAUUUAAUCGGUUGAUGGAUGGGGAUGCGU